AGGACUAACGCUGGCGGCGUGCCUAACACAUGCAAGUCGAACGAGGUAGCAAUACCUAGUGGCAGACGGGUGAGUAACACGUAGUCAACCUUCCCGAUAGUGGGGGAUAACUAGCCGAAAGGUUAGCUAAUACCGCAUACGAUCUUCGAGUGGCAUCAUUUGAAGAUGAAAGGAGCAAUCCGCUUUCGGACGGGACUGCGUCCCAUUAGCUAGAUGGUGGGGUAAUGGCCUACCAUGGCAACGAUGGGUAGCUGGUUUGAGAGAGCGACCAGCCACACUGGGACUGAGAAACGGCCCAGACUCCUACGGAGGCAGCAGUGAGGAAUUUUCCGCAAUGGGCGAAAGCCUGACGGAGCGACGCCGCGUGUGGGAAGAAGGCCUUCGGGUCGUAAACCACUGUCGAAGGGGAAAUACUGAGUGGUACCUUGGAGGAAGGCCCCGGCUAACUACGCGCCAGCAGCCGC
This 464-nucleotide ribosomal RNA is filed under the name uncultured bacterium. RNAcentral's name for it is "SSU rRNA". It matches the Rfam family "Bacterial small subunit ribosomal RNA", at positions 26 to 518 of the family's 1533-position model. The record is from RNAcentral.